RNAcentral lists this ribosomal RNA (2915 nucleotides) under Vibrio campbellii. RNAcentral's name for it is "23S ribosomal RNA". It matches the Rfam family "Bacterial large subunit ribosomal RNA". The record is from RNAcentral. Lineage: Bacteria; Pseudomonadati; Pseudomonadota; Gammaproteobacteria; Vibrionales; Vibrionaceae.
GUUGUAUGGUUAAGUGACUAAGCGUACACGGUGGAUGCCUUGGCAGUCAGAGGCGAUGAAGGACGUAUUAACUUGCGAUAAGCCCAGAUUAGGUAGUAAAAACCACUUGAGUCUGGGAUUUCCGAAUGGGGAAACCCACUAGCAUAAGCUAGUAUCGCUGCGUGAAUACAUAGCGCAGCGAGGCGAACCGGGGGAACUGAAACAUCUAAGUACCCCGAGGAAAAGAAAUCAACCGAGAUUCCGAAAGUAGCGGCGAGCGAAAUUGGACUAGCCCUUAAGCUUUUUAUGCGUCAGGUGAAACUUCUGGAAAGUUGUGCGAUACAGGGUGAUAGCCCCGUAACCGGCAACGCAUUUAAAGUGAAAUCGAGUAGGGCGGGACACGUGAUAUCCUGUCUGAAUAUGGGGGGACCAUCCUCCAAGGCUAAAUACUACUGACUGACCGAUAGUGAACCAGUACCGUGAGGGAAAGGCGAAAAGAACCCCUGUGAGGGGAGUGAAAUAGAACCUGAAACCGUGUACGUACAAGCAGUAGGAGCACCUUUGUGGUGUGACUGCGUACCUUUUGUAUAAUGGGUCAGCGACUUAUAUUCAGUGGCAAGGUUAACCAUCUAGGGGAGCCGUAGGGAAACCGAGUCUUAACUGGGCGUUCAGUCUCUGGAUAUAGACCCGAAACCAGGUGAUCUAGCCAUGGGCAGGUUGAAGGUUGAGUAACAUCAACUGGAGGACCGAACCGACUAAUGUUGAAAAAUUAGCGGAUGACUUGUGGCUAGGGGUGAAAGGCCAAUCAAACCUGGAGAUAGCUGGUUCUCCCCGAAAGCUAUUUAGGUAGCGCCUCGGACGAAUACUACUGGGGGUAGAGCACUGUUAAGGCUAGGGGGUCAUCCCGACUUACCAACCCUUUGCAAACUCCGAAUACCAGUAAGUACUAUCCGGGAGACACACGGCGGGUGCUAACGUCCGUCGUGGAGAGGGAAACAACCCAGACCGCCAGCUAAGGUCCCAAAUUACUACUAAGUGGGAAACGAUGUGGGAAGGCUCAGACAGCCAGGAUGUUGGCUUAGAAGCAGCCAUCAUUUAAAGAAAGCGUAAUAGCUCACUGGUCGAGUCGGCCUGCGCGGAAGAUGUAACGGGGCUAAGUAGUAAACCGAAGCUGCGGCAAUGCACUUUAGUGCAUUGGGUAGGGGAGCGUUCUGUAAGCGGUUGAAGGUGUGUGGUAACGCAUGCUGGACGUAUCAGAAGUGCGAAUGCUGACAUGAGUAACGAUAAAGGGGGUGAAAAACCUCCUCGCCGGAAGACCAAGGGUUCCUGUCCAACGUUAAUCGGGGCAGGGUAAGUCGACCCCUAAGGCGAGGCCGAAAGGCGUAGUCGAUGGGAAACGGGUUAAUAUUCCCGUACUUCUUACAAUUGCGAUGGGGGGACGGAGAAGGCUAGGUGGGCCUGGCGACGGUUGUCCAGGUUCAAGUGCGUAGGCUGAGAAAUUAGGUAAAUCCGGUUUCUCUUAAGGCUGAGACACGACGUCGAGCUACUACGGUAGUGAAGUCAUUGAUGCCAUGCUUCCAGGAAAAGCCUCUAAGCUUCAGAUUGUAAGGAAUCGUACCCCAAACCGACACAGGUGGUCGGGUAGAGAAUACCAAGGCGCUUGAGAGAACUCGGGUGAAGGAACUAGGCAAAAUGGUACCGUAACUUCGGGAGAAGGUACGCUCUCGACGGUGAAGUCCCUUGCGGAUGGAGCUAUUGAGAGUCGCAGAUACCAGGUGGCUGCAACUGUUUAUUAAAAACACAGCACUGUGCAAAAUCGUAAGAUGACGUAUACGGUGUGACGCCUGCCCGGUGCCGGAAGGUUAAUUGAUGGGGUUAGACUUCGGUCGAAGCUCUUGAUCGAAGCCCCGGUAAACGGCGGCCGUAACUAUAACGGUCCUAAGGUAGCGAAAUUCCUUGUCGGGUAAGUUCCGACCUGCACGAAUGGCGUAAUGAUGGCCACGCUGUCUCCACCCGAGACUCAGUGAAAUUGAAAUCGCUGUGAAGAUGCAGUGUACCCGCGGCUAGACGGAAAGACCCCGUGAACCUUUACUACAGCUUGGCACUGAACAUUGACCCUACAUGUGUAGGAUAGGUGGGAGGCUUUGAAACUAGUACGCCAGUAUUAGUGGAGCCGUCCUUGAAAUACCACCCUUGUAGUGUUGAUGUUCUAACGUCGACCCCUUAUCGGGGUUGCGGACAGUGCCUGGUGGGUAGUUUGACUGGGGCGGUCUCCUCCCAAAGCGUAACGGAGGAGCACGAAGGUGGGCUAAUCACGGUUGGACAUCGUGAGGUUAGUGCAAUGGCAUAAGCCCGCUUGACUGCGAGAAUGACAAUUCGAGCAGGUGCGAAAGCAGGUCAUAGUGAUCCGGUGGUUCUGAAUGGAAGGGCCAUCGCUCAACGGAUAAAAGGUACUCCGGGGAUAACAGGCUGAUACCGCCCAAGAGUUCAUAUCGACGGCGGUGUUUGGCACCUCGAUGUCGGCUCAUCACAUCCUGGGGCUGAAGUCGGUCCCAAGGGUAUGGCUGUUCGCCAUUUAAAGUGGUACGCGAGCUGGGUUUAGAACGUCGUGAGACAGUUCGGUCCCUAUCUGCCGUGGGCGUUGGAAGAUUGAAGGGGGCUGCUCCUAGUACGAGAGGACCGGAGUGGACGAACCUCUGGUGUUCGGGUUGUGUCGCCAGACGCAUUGCCCGGUAGCUAAGUUCGGAAUCGAUAACCGCUGAAAGCAUCUAAGCGGGAAGCGAGCCCUGAGAUGAGUCUUCCCUGAUACUUUAAGUAUCCUGAAGGGUUGUUCGAGACUAGAACGUUGAUAGGCAGGGUGUGUAAGCGUUGUGAGGCGUUGAGCUAACCUGUACUAAUUGCCCGUGAGGCUUAACCAUACAACACCCAAGGGGUUU